RNAcentral lists this small nuclear RNA (107 nucleotides) under Moschus moschiferus (Siberian musk deer). The record is from RNAcentral. Lineage: Eukaryota; Metazoa; Chordata; Mammalia; Artiodactyla; Moschidae.
UUGCUCACUUCGGCAGCACAUAUACUAAAAUUGGAACGAUACAGAGAAGAUUAGCACGGCCCCUGCUCAAGGAUGACACACAAAUUUGUGAAGCGUUCCAUAUUUUU